RNAcentral lists this ribosomal RNA (350 nucleotides) under uncultured bacterium. RNAcentral's name for it is "bacterial SSU rRNA". It matches the Rfam family "Bacterial small subunit ribosomal RNA", at positions 362 to 748 of the family's 1533-position model. The record is from RNAcentral.
UAUUGGACAAUGGGCGAAAGCCUGAUCCAGCAAUGCCGCGUGAGUGAUGAAGGCCUUAGGGUUGUAAAGCUCUUUUACCCGGGAUGAUAAUGACAGUACCGGGAGAAUAAGCUCCGGCUAACUCCGUGCCAGCAGCCGCGGUAAUGCGGAGGGAGCUAGCGUUGUUCGGAAUUACUGGGCGUAAAGCGCACGUAGGCGGCUUUGUAAGUUAGAGGUAAAGCCUGAGCUCAACUCCGAACUGCCUUAAGCUGCAUCGCUUAAUCCAGAAGGUAGUGAAUUCCAGUGAAGGUAAAUUCGAGUUUCGAAGACACCAGUGCAAGCGCUACUGGCUGGUUAGCGUGGUGAAUCAA